GGGAAUUAGGGUUUACCUGUCAAUAUGGCUGUUGGAGUCCUUCGAAGAACUUCUUCUUCUGCAUCACGAACAGACGACGACGGCUCACCUGAGCUUUGACGGUGCGCGGCGGAAGACGUCAACCUUCUAGGAUUCUCCGUCUCAAUAAUCUUUCAAAUGCGAAUUUACCGACGAACACACGAGCGUGAAUUUGAAAUGCGAUACCGACUGGAGUUCGUCCGACGCGAUUUCAACAUGACGAAGACAAAUAGAAAUUCGGAGGUUCUCGGUGAAUCCAGAGAAGGUGCGUUGUUAUUGUUGAAGAUGAUGAAACGUGGGUGAAUGAAGAUUGGAGAGAGGAUUGAAGAAGAUGAUGGUUGAAUGAAUCGUGGUUAAGGUUGAAGAAGAGGAUGAAGACGUUGAAAUUGCAGGGAUGAAUGAAGGUGUUGAUUGAAGAAGAGUAUGGAGAAGAUGAAGAAGAACUGAGAUUGAAGGUGAUGGUGGUUCUGAGUUUGUGAGCAAUGGUGAAGAAGCUUUGUGGAGAAUUGGAGAUAAUGAAGUGGAGACAGAGAGUUCUGAGAGUGGUGGAGCUACUGGUUUUUAUAGUUGAAGGCGAAGAGGAGAAUUCAGUUGAGAGAAGGUGCGUUGUUAUUGUUGAAGAUGAUGAAACGUGGGUGAAUGAAGAUUGGAGAGAGGAUUGAAGAAGAUGAUGGUUGAAUGAAUCGUGGUUAAGGUUGAAGAAGAGGAUGAAGACGUUGAAAUUGCAGGGAUGAAUGAAGGUGUUGAUUGAAGAAGAGUAUGGAGAAGAUGAAGAAGAACUGAGAUUGAAGGUGAUGGUGGUUCUGAGUUUGUGAGCAAUGGUGAAGAAGCUUUGUGGAGAAUUGGAGAUAAUGAAGUGGAGACAGAGAGUUCUGAGAGUGGUGGAGCUACUGGUUUUUAUAGUUGAAGGCGAAGAGGAGAAUUCAGUUGAGGUUAGUUACUCUUCUUCUUUUUCUGUUAACUGUCAGUUGCAAUUGGUUAAGAAGUGGUUUAGGUUUGUAACUGAACUAGUUACUUAUUGGUUAUUGGUUUGAAAAGUGGUUGAAGUUUGUUGUGGUUAGUUAAGGGGCGAGUUACUAAAUUCAGUUUUUCUGUUACGAAUCUGUUUUGGUGGUUAUGAGAAUUCUGUUUUGGUUUUGAAAGUUUUUUUUGUUAGGACAGUUUUGAGUAGUUGCUUCUGUUAGUAUGUAUGUAGAAUUGGAUUUUGGUAUACUCUGGACUGAACUUGAUUUUUUUCUAGAAUGCAGAACCUAAAAUUAACUUGGAAGGAAAUUAAAAAUGGGAUUUAAAUACUGUAGGUAUGUGUAUUAGCUGGGCUGCUGUUUGGUAUAUUUUGUACAUGGUGAGUAUGCUGCGGAUGUAUCUUGAAUUUGAAUGAACAGGCUAAGAUAAUGUGUGUGCAGUGAGUGAAUAUGUCUUGAACUGGUAGUGAUGCUGCUUGAAUUUUUAUGUGUAUACAGGUACAUGAUGCAGCAGGUUUAUUUGAGUUUUUAUUUUGAAUGUAAUUGCAGGGCUGAUGCGUGUAAGGCUAGCAGUGAAACGGUUUCCCCACGGAUCUGCACAAUUGAUGUGAUUACGGCGGGUUUGACGCAGGGACCGGUUUGUCUAUGCUGCCGGGAGUAUGGUUAUGAUGCAAGAAUGGUAUACUUGGGAACUAAGAAGCGACAUGAUCAUGAUACAUGGUGAAAUAAGGAAACUUAUUGAAGAUUGGUCUGGAAACUCAACUGUCUUGCAAGCUGACGGUGCAUUUACGGGAUGAACCAUGGAGGCAAGCACACCAUUGAUGGAAGCUUAGGAUUAAAAAUAAUAGGGUAGAGUAAUUUUUGUGUGGUUCUUUUGUAGUUGAAUCUUGGAAUUUUUCUUUGUAAUGGACUGUGAAACGGUAUUUGAACGAAUGUAAUAUGAAUUGUGUAAUAGGAAUAUGGAUUCUUGAACGAAUGUUUGGAAAAUGAUGGACAUUGUAUUUUUGAUAAAUUGUAGAGUUCUUGAAAGGAAAUUGUUUGAAUGGUUCAUGAAUGAAUGUUAAAGCUUGGGGUGUUUGUGAUGCUUUGUUUGGAUAGGUGUGACUUGUAUGGCCGUUUUUUGUUUUCGAUGUCUCAAAAAUCUUAGGCAUGUUAUGAAAUGUUUUCUUUUGAAUGUCUUGCAACACAAGUAACAACAUGGACCAAUUUUUUUUGUCUGGCGACUAUGCCCAAGUAUUGAGAAGGAGUUCAGGAUGAUUUUAGGACCAAACUCCAAUUGAUUAGUCAAUCUCAAGUUUAAGGAAAUAAACCCCAAUUCUUGAUCAUUGAGCCAUAACCUCAGUUCCUCUUAUCCAUGCUCAUAGAGAAUUCCGUUGGAAUUAAAGCUUGCAUGAUAUGGACAUUUCAAACCAAGUCAAACACUGUUUUAUUCCAUGAUCCUUGAUCCCAUGCCUUAGGAAUUUAUUUAAUGAAUGGAUGCAAAGUGUUAGAUGACCUAAUGGGGAAUGCAUGUGAAAUGAGAAGCUAAAGCCAGAUAGAAAUAAAGGGGUAGGACAAAUUUGGGGUAUGACAACUAGUAUGACCCAAACGAUUUACCAGACAAACUAGUGUAUUGGUUGAUUUGUUUGAACAUGUAAAAUGCACUUUUUUUACUAACACAUUUUGUAGAAGUGGAAAAAAUUGAAAUUGAAAUUAUUACAUC
Long non-coding RNA from Vicia villosa (hairy vetch), 2682 nucleotides. RefSeq lists it as uncharacterized. NCBI's taxonomy places the organism in Eukaryota, Viridiplantae, Streptophyta, Magnoliopsida, Fabales, Fabaceae. The record is from RefSeq and is a predicted model, not a curated record. The transcript is spliced from 4 exons.